RNAcentral lists this non-coding RNA (244 nucleotides) under Halalkalibacterium halodurans. RNAcentral's name for it is "Bacillus halodurans T-box sequence". It matches the Rfam family "T-box leader". From Rfam's summary of the family: Uncharged tRNA acts as the effector for transcription antitermination of genes in the T-box leader family. T-boxes are found upstream of many aminoacyl-tRNA synthetase genes and some amino acid biosynthetic genes usually in Gram-positive bacteria. Lineage: Bacteria; Bacillati; Bacillota; Bacilli; Caryophanales; Bacillaceae. The record is from RNAcentral.
UUAAAAACGAUGACGAAGAUGAGGAAUGUAGAUGACCAAUCCAGAGAGCUGGUGGUUGCUGUGAACCAGCUUGGCUCUACAAUUUCCGUAGCCCUUCUGAGUUGACGCUCUGAACAUUUAAGUAGGAGCGCUCCGGUUAAUCCGUUACCUUGGAGACGUAGUUAAAUCUCCUUGAGGCACAUACUGCGACAACAAGUAUGUGUGAAUGAGGGUGGCACCGCGGUAUGAACCUUCCGCCCCUCAC